CUCCGGCGACUCUGUAGCC
RNAcentral lists this small nuclear RNA (19 nucleotides) under Arabidopsis thaliana (thale cress). Its description in RNAcentral is "snRNA_13955". The record is from RNAcentral. Lineage: Eukaryota; Viridiplantae; Streptophyta; Magnoliopsida; Brassicales; Brassicaceae.